RNAcentral lists this ribosomal RNA (503 nucleotides) under uncultured bacterium. RNAcentral describes it as "partial 16S ribosomal RNA". It matches the Rfam family "Bacterial small subunit ribosomal RNA", at positions 28 to 523 of the family's 1533-position model. The record is from RNAcentral.
GAUGAACGCUAGCGGCAGGCCUAACACAUGCAAGUCGAGGGGUAGCAGGAUUAAGCUUGCUUAAUUGCUGACGACCGGCGCACGGGUGCGUAACGCGUACGCAACCUACCUCAUACUGGGGUAUAGCCCGGAGAAAUUCGGAUUAAUCCCCCAUAGUACUAAUGAAUCGCAUGGUUUAUUAGUUAAAGCAUUGCGGUAUAAGAUGGGCAUGCGUCCUAUUAGCUAGAUGGUGAGGUAACGGCUCACCAUGGCUACGAUAGGUAGGGGGCCUGAGAGGGUGGUCCCCCACACUGGUACUGAGACACGGACCAGACUCCUACGGGAGGCAGCAGUGAGGAAUAUUGGUCAAUGGGCGCAAGCCUGAACCAGCCAUGCCGCGUGCAGGAAGAAUGCCCUAUGGGUUGUAAACUGCUUUUAUUUGGGAAUAAACCUCUUUACGUGUAGAGAGCUGAAGGUACCAAAUGAAUAAGCACCGGCUAACUCCGUGCCAGCAGCCGCCGUAA